RNAcentral lists this ribosomal RNA (253 nucleotides) under uncultured bacterium. RNAcentral describes it as "partial 16S ribosomal RNA". It matches the Rfam family "Bacterial small subunit ribosomal RNA", at positions 524 to 776 of the family's 1533-position model. The record is from RNAcentral.
UACGAGGGGGGCAAGCGUUGUUCGGAAUUACUGGGCGUAAAGGGCGCGUAGGCGGCCUUCUAAGUCGAACGUGAAAUCCCCGGGCUCAACCCGGGAACUGCGUCCGAUACUGGAAGGCUUGAAUCCGGGAGAGGGACGCGGAAUUCCAGGUGUAGCGGUGAAAUGCGUAGAUAUCUGGAGGAACACCGGUGGCGAAGGCGGCAUCCUGGACCGGUAUUGACGCUGAGGCGCGAAAGCCAGGGGAGCAAACGGG